AAGUCGUAACAAGGUUUCCGUAGGUGAACCUGCGGAAGGAUCAUUAAUGAAUGAAUGUAGAGUUGGUUGUAGCUGGCCCGCAAGGGCACGUGCACGCCUUCUCUUUCAUCCACACACCCCAUGUGCACCUGUGAGACAGAGGCUUAUGGCUCUCUUUUGUUAGGGAGCUGGUCUCUGUCUGCUAUUACACAAACUCAUAUACUAUAAUCUGAAUGUAAUUGAUGUAAACGCAUCUAUAUACUAAGUUUCAACAACGGAUCUCUUGGCUCUC
RNAcentral lists this unclassified non-coding RNA (271 nucleotides) under air metagenome. RNAcentral's name for it is "partial contains small subunit ribosomal RNA, internal transcribed spacer 1, and 5.8S ribosomal RNA". The stretch from base 1 to 46 matches the Rfam family "Eukaryotic small subunit ribosomal RNA", at positions 1786 to 1831 of the family's 1831-position model. The record is from RNAcentral.